Molecule: transfer RNA, 69 nt
Filed under: Loxodonta africana (African savanna elephant)
Lineage: Eukaryota; Metazoa; Chordata; Mammalia; Proboscidea; Elephantidae
Rfam family: tRNA
About the family: Transfer RNA (tRNA) molecules are approximately 80 nucleotides in length. Their secondary structure includes four short double-helical elements and three loops (D, anti-codon, and T loops).
Source: Rfam by way of RNAcentral
GCAUUGGUGGUUCAGUGGUAGUUCUCACCUUCCAUGCAGGAGACCCAGGUUUGAUUCCUGGCCAGUGCA